RNAcentral lists this ribosomal RNA (442 nucleotides) under uncultured bacterium. Its description in RNAcentral is "partial 16S ribosomal RNA". It matches the Rfam family "Bacterial small subunit ribosomal RNA", at positions 338 to 795 of the family's 1533-position model. The record is from RNAcentral.
UCUACGGGGUGCAGCAGUGGGAAUAUUGGGCAAUGGGCGCAAGCCUGACCCAGCAACGCCGCGUGAAGGAAGAAGGCUUUCGGGUUGUAAACUUCUUUUCUCAGGGACGAAGAAAGUGACGGUACCCCUUGAAUAAGCCACGGCUAACUACGUGCCAGCAGCCGCGGUAAUACGUAGGUGGCAAGCGUUGUCCGGAUUUACUGGGUGUAAAGGGCGUGCAGCCGGAGAGACAAGUCAGAUGUGAAAUCCACGGGCUCAACCCGUGAACUGCAUUUGAAACUGUUUCCAUUGAGUGUCGGAGAGGUAAUCGGAAUUCCUUGUGUAGCGGUGAAAUGCGUAGAUAUAAGGAAGAACACCAGUGGCGAAGGCGGAUUACUGGACGAUAACUGACGGUGAGGCGCGAAAGCGUGGGGAGCAAACAGGAUUAGAUACCCCUGUAGUC